GGGAAAUGAAAAAAAUAGGUGUAGAGGACUCGUACCGCCAUACACAUGGGGUCACUCGAGCAGAUGCGUUAGCAAGGGAACCAAAGCUGAUUGAGGGAAGAUGGUGCAUCAGUACCAAAGUGAUGUCGGGGUGUUAACGCGCUAGAUUGUAGACCUGCUUCGGAUCCUAAGGACCUUCUGGCAACUGAUGAUGGGUGUGUAACUUUUUAAAGAGAAUUGGGUUGUCCUUGAUGAUUGUGCAGGUAGAAAAUUA
Molecule: long non-coding RNA, 253 nt
Filed under: Lupinus angustifolius (narrow-leaved blue lupine)
Lineage: Eukaryota; Viridiplantae; Streptophyta; Magnoliopsida; Fabales; Fabaceae
Description: long non-coding RNA (LANG_LNC003433)
Source: RNAcentral